UACGAAGGGUGCAAGCGUUGUCCGGAAUCACUGGGCGUAAAGGGCGCGUAGGCGGCUUGGUAAGUAGGGGGUGAAAUCUCACGGCUCAACUGUGAGGCUGCCUUCUAGACUGCCGAGCUUGAGCACAGUAGAGGCUGGUGGAAUUCCCGGUGUAGCGGUGGAAUGCGUUGAUAUCCACAGGAACGCCGGUGGCGAAGGCGGCACGCUGGACCCCAUCUGACGCUGAGGCGCGAAAGCCAGGGGAGCGAACGGG
This 253-nucleotide ribosomal RNA is filed under the name uncultured bacterium. Its description in RNAcentral is "partial 16S ribosomal RNA". It matches the Rfam family "Bacterial small subunit ribosomal RNA", at positions 524 to 776 of the family's 1533-position model. The record is from RNAcentral.